RNAcentral lists this long non-coding RNA (587 nucleotides) under Salmo salar (Atlantic salmon). Its description in RNAcentral is "lncRNA (ENSSSAG00000096312.1, ENSSSAG00020073353.1, ENSSSAG00075065319.1)". The record is from RNAcentral. Lineage: Eukaryota; Metazoa; Chordata; Actinopteri; Salmoniformes; Salmonidae.
UUUUGUUCUAUAAAGGCCCUCCCCUUUCUUCGUCACGUCCUCUUUCAAUUUGGUGUCUUCGCUGUAGAGACACAUCUCCACAAGAUGAGAGCAAAGUGGAGGAAGAAGCGUAUGCGCAGAACAAGGCAGUUAACUACCGGGGACCGUGUGUCAUUGCUGAAGCGUAAAAGGCGAAAGAUGAGGCAGAGGUCCAAGUAGACUGGCCCAUUCCCCUACUGCUGUGAUUGUUUUUCCCCACCCACUCCAAGCCCCCUGUUUGAAGCCAGCGGUCCAUGAUUUGCAAAGAGCUGAACCAUGGUUGUCUGAAGCCGGUCUCAUUGGUGUGAAGGACGGAUCCCGCAUACCCAGCCCUCUACUCUGCCAAUGGCACCUGGCUGUUGACUACUGCUAGAAUCUCUCCUGUUGUUGGACUCUGGCCUUUUACCACCUGCACAGCUGAUUUGUUGUGAAGACCAUAAUAAAUAUUUGGUUUACUAACUACAUUACUGUCUCUGUAAACAUUGAUUGAUGUUCAUAUCAAAGUUUAUUGGUCACACAUUUAGCAGAUGUUACUGCAGGUUUAGUGAAAUUCAUGUCUUUCGUUCCAC